Molecule: ribosomal RNA, 466 nt
Filed under: uncultured bacterium
Lineage: Bacteria
Description: partial 16S ribosomal RNA
Rfam family: Bacterial small subunit ribosomal RNA
Source: RNAcentral
GACGAACGCUGGCGGCGUGCUUAACACAUGCAAGUCGUGCGGUAAGGCCCUUUCGGGGGUACACGAGCGGCGAACGGGUGAGUAACACGUGAGCAACCUGCCCUUCACUUUGGGAUAACUGCCGGAAACGGUGGCUAAUACCGGAUAUGACUUCCUCACGCAUGUGGGGUGGUGGAAAGCCUUCGGGUGGUGGGGGAUGGGCUCGCGGUCUAUCCGCUUGUUGGUGGGGUGAUGGCCUACCAAGGCUUCGACGGGUAGCCGGCCUGGGAGGGUGACCGGCCACAAGGGGACUGAGAGACGGCCCAGAAUGCUACGGGAGGCAGCAGGGGGAAAUAUUAGACAAUGGGGGAAAGCCUGAUCCAGCAACGCCGGGUGAGGGAUGACGGCCUUCGGGUUGUAAACCUCUUUCGCCUGCGACGAAGCGAGAGUGACGGUAGCAGGUAAAGAAGCACCGGCCAACUACGUG